RNAcentral lists this ribosomal RNA (715 nucleotides) under uncultured bacterium. RNAcentral describes it as "bacterial SSU rRNA". It matches the Rfam family "Bacterial small subunit ribosomal RNA", at positions 28 to 734 of the family's 1533-position model. The record is from RNAcentral.
AUUGAACGCUGGCGGCAGGCCUAACACAUGCAAGUCGAGCGGUAGCACAGAGAGCUUGCUCUCGGGUGACGAGCGGCGGACGGGUGAGUAAUGUCUGGGAAACUGCCCGAUGGAGGGGGAUAACUACUGGAAACGGUAGCUAAUACCGCAUAACGUCUACGGACCAAAGUGGGGGACCUUCGGGCCUCACACCAUCGGAUGUGCCCAGAUGGGAUUAGCUGGUAGGUGGGGUAAUGGCUCACCUAGGCGACGAUCCCUAGCUGGUCUGAGAGGAUGACCAGCCACACUGGAACUGAGACACGGUCCAGACUCCUACGGGAGGCAGCAGUGGGGAAUAUUGCACAAUGGGCGCAAGCCUGAUGCAGCCAUGCCGCGUGUGUGAAGAAGGCCUUCGGGUUGUAAAGCACUUUCAGCGAGGAGGAAGGCGUUGUAGUUAAUAGCUGCAGCGAUUGACGUUACUCGCAGAAGAAGCACCGGCUAACUCCGUGCCAGCAGCCGCGGUAAUACGGAGGGUGCAAGCGUUAAUCGGAAUUACUGGGCGUAAAGCGCACGCAGGCGGUCUGUUAAGUCAGAUGUGAAGUCCCCGGGCUUAACCUGGGAACUGCAUUUGAAACUGGCAGGCUAGAGUCUCGUAGAGGGGGGUAGAAUUCCAGGUGUAGCGGUGAGAUGCGUAGAGAUCUGGAGGAAUACCGGUGGCGAAGGCGGCCCCCUGGAC